This 414-nucleotide ribosomal RNA is filed under the name uncultured Glomeromycotina. Its description in RNAcentral is "SSU rRNA". It matches the Rfam family "Eukaryotic small subunit ribosomal RNA", at positions 671 to 1084 of the family's 1831-position model. Lineage: Eukaryota; Fungi; Glomeromycota. The record is from RNAcentral.
UGGUAUGCACUGGCUUUACUGAUUCCUCCUUCUUGACGAACCGUGAUGUCAUUAAUUUGGUGUUGCGGGAAAUCAGGACUGUUACUUUGAAAAAAUUAGAGUGUUUAAAGCAGGCUAACGCUUGAAUACAUUAGCAUGGAAUAAUGAAAUAGGACGUUAAUCCUAUUUUGUUGGUUUCUAGGAUCGACGUAAUGAUUAAUAGGGAUAGUUGGGGGCAUUAGUAUUCAAUUGUCAGAGGUGAAAUUCUUGGAUUUAUUGAAGACUAACUACGGCGAAAGCAUUUGCCAAGGAUGUUUUCAUUAAUCAAGAACGAAAGUUAGGGGAUCGAAGACGAUCAGAUACCGUCGUAGUCUUAACCAUAAACUAUGCCGACUAGGGAUCGGAUGAUGUUAAUUCUUUAAGGACCCCCCCCGC